This 275-nucleotide ribosomal RNA is filed under the name uncultured Turicibacter sp. RNAcentral's name for it is "partial 16S ribosomal RNA". It matches the Rfam family "Bacterial small subunit ribosomal RNA", at positions 338 to 605 of the family's 1533-position model. Lineage: Bacteria; Bacillati; Bacillota; Erysipelotrichia; Erysipelotrichales; Turicibacteraceae. The record is from RNAcentral.
CCUACGGGUGGCUGCAGUAGGGAAUCUUCGGCAAUGGGCGAAAGCCUGACCGAGCAACGCCGCGUGAAUGAUGAAGGCCUUCGGGUUGUAAAAUUCUGUUAUAAGGGAAGAAUGGCUCUAGUAGGAAAUGGCUAGAGUGUGACGGUACCUUAUGAGAAAGCCACGGCUAACUACGUGCCAGCAGCCGCGGUAAUACGUAGGUGGCGAGCGUUAUCCGGAAUUAUUGGGCGUAAAGAGCGCGCAGGUGGUUGAUUAAGUCUGAUGUGAAAGCCCAC